Danio rerio (zebrafish) is the source of this 371-nucleotide long non-coding RNA. Lineage: Eukaryota; Metazoa; Chordata; Actinopteri; Cypriniformes; Danionidae. The record is from Ensembl.
GCAUGAGGUGUCCUCUCACCAGCAGCAGCUGCCAUCUCCUGAUUCAGGUUUGGAAUGCAGUGUAAGUUUUGCAAAUUUGUAAACAGUAGCUGAGAAUUUACACUACUGACUACAUCGCUAUCAAGGACCAUCCUGGCAGCAGCCUUGUUUGUUCGCAGACUGCUUCUGCACUUUAAAGACUCUGAUGUCCGAAAACAGUGGCCUGCAUGUUUUUGGGAGUUUAGGUCUAUGCUGAGUUUUACAGGAUUACUCAAACCAACCUCAAAGAUACCUUCUCUUUUUCGGAUGAAUACGCUAUCAAGUUUUAUGGAUCAUGUGGUGGGCGAUAUGGAGAGAUAAUAAGGACCGCCCUGGACCAACUGGACAAUCAA